GCUCACUUCGGCAGCAUACAGUAAAAUUGGAAUAAUACAGAAAAGAUUAGCAAGGUCCCUGCACAAAGAUACACAAGUCUGUGAAGCAUUCCAUAUUGAA
Molecule: small nuclear RNA, 100 nt
Organism: Marmota marmota marmota (Alpine marmot)
Lineage: Eukaryota; Metazoa; Chordata; Mammalia; Rodentia; Sciuridae
Source: Ensembl